UACAGAGGCCCCGAGCGUUGUUCGGAAUUACUGGGCGUAAAGAGAACGUAGGCGGUCGUGUAAGUCAGAUGUGAAAGCCCUGGGCUUAACCUGGGAAGUGCAUUUGAUACUGCUCGGCUCGAGUGCGAGAGAGGAGAGCGGAAUUCCUAGUGUAGGAGUGAAAUCCGUAGAUAUUAGGAGGAAUACCGAUGGCGAAGACAGCUCUCUGGCUCGCUACUGACACUGAGGUUCGAAAGCAUGAGUAGCAAACAGG
RNAcentral lists this ribosomal RNA (253 nucleotides) under uncultured bacterium. RNAcentral's name for it is "partial 16S ribosomal RNA". It matches the Rfam family "Bacterial small subunit ribosomal RNA", at positions 524 to 776 of the family's 1533-position model. The record is from RNAcentral.